UACUUCUGUAUUUCACGCCAUUCUUCCUUUGUUCCCUCUUUUGCAUUGCAUGUGGACAGUAAACCACAUAGUCGUCCAUCACUGAAUGUUUGAAUUUGUUCCAUUCAAACAUUCAAAGUCACAUUCCGCACGCGUGUAGGUGUCAGAGAUGUCAUUCUCACGCAACAGUCACCUACACCUAUGUUUGAAUCGGCUUAAGGAUGCUGCGAACGACAUCUCCGACAUGCUUGAAGAUUUUGAAGAUGAAACCGACUUCAACCUGGUGUGCAAGAUUAUGUCGAUUUGGUAACUAUCAAUCAUGAUCUGAAUGAUGUUGUUUAAUAACAUAUGAAUAUUUUAGAUAAUGAACUACAUCUAAAACUUUUUUAUGUAGUGAAGUAGAUCUGAACCUCACUGUUGGAGUUGAUCUUUGAGUCGAUGUUAAGUAAAAGCUGCUUCUACUUUUUGAUGCCAAGACCACCUUUAGUGGGCAGCCACGAUGAAGAAGAUUAAGAUGCCACGUAAGAUGAGAUCGAUGCAAAAGCGCCUACAAAAGAUGGACCGUGAUAGUUAUGGUGUUCAGCCAGAAACUCGCUGCGAGGAGCGGCAAGUUCCUGACAUCCGGGAAACAGCAGGAUAUGUGGAGGAGGCAGAAAUCAUCUGGAGGGCUGAUGACGAAAGGAAAAUCUUGGAUUGCAUAUCUGGGAGCAAUAGUUAUUUCCCUCUGCUUUCGAUCACAGUGAUUGGAGUCAGUAAGUAGUGAUUAGAGUCAGUAGGUAAUACAAAACAUGGUAAAUUUCAUUGGAAUAUAACUUGCAAGUUGAUGGGUUCAAAACCUUUGGGCUGUGAAAAAGAGUUAUGUUCUUCUGAUUAUGCCACUGGACUAUGGCCAUUUUCUUUAUAUUUAGGCAGUGUAUGGCGCCAUAUAGAAUGGACAGUAAUUAUGUGUAGUAUUUCUUU
Triticum aestivum (bread wheat) is the source of this 939-nucleotide RNA transcript. RefSeq lists it as uncharacterized. The transcript is spliced from 2 exons. Lineage: Eukaryota; Viridiplantae; Streptophyta; Magnoliopsida; Poales; Poaceae. The record is from RefSeq and is a predicted model, not a curated record.